RNAcentral lists this ribosomal RNA (253 nucleotides) under uncultured bacterium. Its description in RNAcentral is "partial 16S ribosomal RNA". It matches the Rfam family "Bacterial small subunit ribosomal RNA", at positions 524 to 776 of the family's 1533-position model. The record is from RNAcentral.
UACAGAGGUGGCAAGCGUUGUUCGGAAUUACUGGGCGUAAAGGGCUCGUAGGCGGUCUUGCAAGUCCUGUGUGAAAUCCCUCGGCUCAACUGAGGAACUGCACAGGAAACUGCUUGGCUUGAGUUCGGGAGAGGGAAGCGGAAUUCCGGGUGUAGCGGUGAAAUGCGUAGAUAUCCGGAGGAACACCGGUGGCGAAGGCGGGUCUCUGGGCCGAUACUGACGCUGAGGAGCGAAAGCGUGGGGAGCAAACAGG